RNAcentral lists this long non-coding RNA (665 nucleotides) under Zonotrichia albicollis (white-throated sparrow). RNAcentral describes it as "lncRNA (ENSZALG00000002542.1)". Lineage: Eukaryota; Metazoa; Chordata; Aves; Passeriformes; Passerellidae. The record is from RNAcentral.
GGAGACCGAAGGCUGGGCACCGUCGGCAGGAAAAGCCAAAUCGGGCAUCCAUCUCUCCUUGUGUCCGUCUCUGCAUUUUCCUACCGGCUGUACAUAGCAGCUUCUCCCCAUCCUCAAGUGAGGAAGAUGGUGGAAAACCGGUCAUCUGGCUCCCAGCAGAAAUGGGUCUGAGCAGCAAAGGAUGCAAGUGUUGGAGCCCCCAGGAAUUCCCUCUGAACAGCAGCUGCAAAAAAGAGAAGCAUUUUAUAAGCACUCACCAGUAUGACAAAGCAAUGGUACCAUUUUUAGAGGACACAUUAAAAUAAGCAAGCCACUACAAUGAAGAUUUAUGUGCCAUGCAUGGAAUCAAGCACACCACUGUCCUGGGAGCCCUACUCCAAAAACACAGAGAUGUUGAGAGUUGCCUUGUCUCAAAACCAAGUCAAACAGGCACAGCCACCCAGAACAAGUUAGUCUGUGUGAAGGAAAGAAGAACCAGCAAUCUCCUUUUCCCAGGCUCUUCCCAGGAAGAGGUAAUCUUAUUUUCUCUCAAUGAAUUGUUAGAAGUUUCUUUUACCAUGCUGGAUUAUUUAAAACUUGCUCAAUUUUGCAGUGGGUUCACUGAGAUUAAUAUUUUGUGUGCUCCCGUAGCGAGCAUUAACAAAAUUUGGGAGAGGUUAUUGCUG